RNAcentral lists this unclassified non-coding RNA (498 nucleotides) under Stigmaphyllon saxicola. Its description in RNAcentral is "partial contains external transcribed spacer and 18S ribosomal RNA". The stretch from base 444 to 498 matches the Rfam family "Eukaryotic small subunit ribosomal RNA", at positions 1 to 55 of the family's 1831-position model. Lineage: Eukaryota; Viridiplantae; Streptophyta; Magnoliopsida; Malpighiales; Malpighiaceae. The record is from RNAcentral.
GGGCGUGUGAGUGGUGUUUGGAAUGUUGGGAUGGUAGGCUCCGUGCUUUUUGCAUCGAACUGCCACACCGCWUCCUUUUCAAGCCUCAAGCAUUGCUUUUAUGCUUGAGAGUCGAYCGUGUUCCUGUAUYUGAUACCCAUGUCGGAGGAACUAGGCCCCNGUACUCUYUUUUCCUCUCGGUGCCUCUCAGGGGGUAUCGAGCGGAGCACGUAGUCUGAUCCCUCGAACCUAGCAUGCCCNUUUGGUUGCAACGGUUGUCGGAUCAAAAGCUYGUGUUCUCGGAUGCGGAAUAUUCGAUGGGUCCAAGGAUCGUAUCCUUGCAUCGACCCUGUGUGGGAAAUCGUCCCUCGRUAAGAACGACAUCCGCUGCGCGUUCCGAAACAUCCKACGUCCUCUGGGGYUGAGGGUGCUUCGUGCGUGCAYCGGUGUCCUCGGAGGAAUGCUACCUGGUUGAUCCUGCCAGUAGUCAUAUGCUUGUCUCAAAGAUUAAGCCAUGCA